GAUGAACGCUGGCGGCGUGCCUAAUACAUGCAAGUCGAGCGAACAGACGAGGAGCUUGCUCCUCUGACGUUAGCGGCGGACGGGUGAGUAACACGUGGAUAACCUACCUAUAAGACUGGGAUAACUUCGGGAAACCGGAGCUAAUACCGGAUAAUAUAUUGAACCGCAUGGUUCAAUAGUGAAAGACGGUUUUGCUGUCACUUAUAGAUGGAUCCGCGCCGCAUUAGCUAGUUGGUAAGGUAACGGCUUACCAAGGCAACGAUGCGUAGCCGACCUGAGAGGGUGAUCGGCCACACUGGAACUGAGACACGGACCAGACUCCUACGGGAGGCAGCAGUAGGGAAUCUUCCGCAAUGGGCGAAAGCCUGACGGAGCAACGCCGCGUGAGUGAUGAAGGACUUCGGAUCGUAAAACUCUGUUAUUAGGGAAGAACAAAUGUGUAAGUAACUAUGCACGUCUUGACGGUACCUAAUCAGAAAGCCACGGCUAACUACGUG
This 497-nucleotide ribosomal RNA is filed under the name uncultured bacterium. RNAcentral describes it as "partial 16S ribosomal RNA". It matches the Rfam family "Bacterial small subunit ribosomal RNA", at positions 28 to 507 of the family's 1533-position model. The record is from RNAcentral.